GGGAAACCGAGGCCACGCUAGGUCCGCAGCCCCGAGGUGUCCACAAGAGCUCCGCUCGCGCAAGGGCGCGGAGCGAGGCUGCCCGCGGGACCGGCCUGCGGAGCGAGCGGCCAACGAGUGGAUAAAGAAAAUGUGAUAUAUAUGCACUAUGGAAUACUAAGCCAUAAGAAGGAAUGAAAUAAUGGCAUUUGCAGCAACCUAGAUGGAGUUGGAGACCAUUAUUCUAAGUGAAGUAACUCAAGAAUGGAAAACCAAAUAUUGUAUGUUCUCACUCGUAAGUGGGAGCUAAGCUGCGAAGAUGCAAAGGCAUAAGAAUGAUAUAGUGGACUUUGAGGACUCAAGGGUUGAAGGAUGAGACUACACAUUGGGUACAGUGUGCACUGCUUGGGUGAUGAGUGCACCAAAAUCUCAGAACUCACCACUGAAGAACUUCCCCAUGUAACCAAAAACCACCUGUUCCACAGAAACUAUCGAAAUAACAUUUUUAAAACUUUACUAUUUCUGAAUAAAAUUUACAUACAUUUCUCAGAAAAAAAAAUAUUUGGAAUUGAGGUAUCUAAUAGAGAACUGAGUUAAAUUAUUGCCACUUAAAAACACAAAGUGAUAUAGCCACUUUAUGAAUUAAUCAGUCAGCAGUGGCUAGGUUAUGCUUAGUGGUUUAUAACCAAAUCUUAGUUUAUAACAACAAAUGUGUAUUGUUAAUUCCCACUACAAGUUUAUAACGACAUUGCUGGAUGCUACACUCCAUGUCUCUUUGUGGGACCCAGGCUCAUGGGACUUCUGUUACCUGCAUUAGAGAGAGAGAAGACAACAAAAUAUGCACUGGUUCUUGAAGCUUUGGCCCAGAAGUAAAAUAUGUCUUUUACCUGUUCACAUUGCAUUGGGCCAGGGCAAUUAUCAUGGCUGCAAGUAACUUCAAAAGGAUGGGGAAGUGCGAUCUUGGCAUGUGUCAGAAGAAAUGAAAACAUUUGGUGAAGAGCAUUAAUGACUGUCUUUACAGGAAAAAAGCAAUCAAAUAGACAUGAUUGCUUGUUUCAGUUUCAUCAUUUCCUACUGUGUUACCUAAACUUUCUGAGCCCCAGUUUCUUAUUACUAAAAUAAAAUAAAGAU
This 1110-nucleotide long non-coding RNA is filed under the name Homo sapiens (human). RNAcentral describes it as "ZNF407 antisense RNA 1". The record is from RNAcentral. Lineage: Eukaryota; Metazoa; Chordata; Mammalia; Primates; Hominidae.